UACGAAGGGGGCUAGCGUUGCUCGGAAUCACUGGGCGUAAAGGGCGCGUAGGCGGCCGUAUAAGUCGGGGGUGAAAGCCUGUGGCUCAACCACAGAAUUGCCUUCGAUACUGUACGGCUCGAGACCGGAAGAGGUAAGUGGAACUGCGAGUGUAGAGGUGAAAUUCGUAGAUAUUCGCAAGAACACCAGUGGCGAAGGCGGCUUACUGGUCCGGUUCUGACGCUGAGGCGCGAAAGCGUGGGGAGCAAACAGG
RNAcentral lists this ribosomal RNA (253 nucleotides) under uncultured bacterium. Its description in RNAcentral is "partial 16S ribosomal RNA". It matches the Rfam family "Bacterial small subunit ribosomal RNA", at positions 524 to 776 of the family's 1533-position model. The record is from RNAcentral.